GACGAACGCUGGCGGCGUGCUUAACACAUGCAAGUCGAACGGAAAGUCCCUGCUUUUGUGGGGUGCUCGAGUUGCGAACUGGUGAGUAACACUUGAGUAACCUGCCCUUGACUUUGGGAUAACUUCAGGAAACUGGGUCUAAUACCGGAUAGGAGCUCCUGCUUCAUGGUGGGGGUUGGAAAGUUUCGGCGGUUGGGGAUGUACUCGCGGCUUAUCAGCUUGUUGGUUGGGUAGUGGCUUACCAAGGCUUUGACGGGUAGCCGGCCUGAGAGGGUGACCGGCCAAAUUGGGACUGAGAUAAGGCACAGACUACUACGGGAGGCAGCAGUGGGGAAUAUUGCACAAUGGGAGGAAGCCUGAUGCAGCAAAGCCGCGUGCGGGAUGACGGCCUUCGGGUUGUAAACCGAUUUCGCCUGUGACGAAGCGUGAGUGACGGUAAUGGGUAAAGAAGCACCGGCUAACUACGUG
Molecule: ribosomal RNA, 468 nt
Filed under: uncultured bacterium
Lineage: Bacteria
Description: partial 16S ribosomal RNA
Rfam family: Bacterial small subunit ribosomal RNA
Source: RNAcentral